UCUCUCUUCUCCCAAUCUCGCUCUCUCUUGCGCCUUACACAAUCUCAAUCGCUCUAGUCUCCCUCACAACCCAUUCUCCCAAAACCUCAGUCAUUCAUCACCUCUCAGGUUCACGAAUUUGGUUUUCAUUCAAAGAGACUCAAGUAAGAGCUCACCUUCGGCGACGACGACGGCUCAGGGUUUGGGAUUUGGUCUAUGGAGUCCAAAAGAGUAUCCUGCAAAAGCCCUUUAGGGAUUCUCAGUUUUGGAUUGCCCUAUUCGAUGCUAAAUCAAAAACGUGAAUUCUGAGUGGGUAUACACUGAUGUAAUGCAAGCAAUAGUUGAUUCCUUAAGCUUGGUGUUCUUGUCAUGAAUCAAAGGGAUUAACUUAGCAAGCCACAAUCUAGUAUGCCAAUAUCAGCAGCAACAACAUAAUGAUAAUCAACAUCACUUUGCUGAUUGACUCUUUGUUCAUUAGAAUUUGGACUCUCUGAUUCAUUUGAAGCUAGGAGAAAAAUCCUCAGUCGUAUCAUCUCAACUACCUGGAACCUUUUUUAGUGAACAAAAUCUUGAGAAGGUGAGAUCAUGCUCGGAUAGCGCCUCAGAAGUUGAAGAUUCAGCCAAUCAGUAAGGUACAACGUUGUGGUUCCUUCUC
Long non-coding RNA from Lathyrus oleraceus (garden pea), 634 nucleotides. RefSeq lists it as uncharacterized. The transcript has 3 exons. Lineage: Eukaryota; Viridiplantae; Streptophyta; Magnoliopsida; Fabales; Fabaceae. The record is from RefSeq and is a predicted model, not a curated record.